GAAUUGCAUUUCUGCCGCUAAAGCGUUCGCGGAGACUUCAAGGUAUAAUCUAUCCCAGAUCCUUUCCCAGAGAGAAACUUGGCGAUCACGUUUCCACAUGAUGCUCACGUUUGGUGCUCUCCAAUUAUCCCUCCCCACAAAGAUAGGUGGCGUGUGUUGCAGGGUCUCUCCUCUCGCUCGUACAGAAAAGAAAAAGAAAAAAAUGUCAUUAGAAGAGGCGUAACACGUCAGUCCGUCCCCAGGUUUGUGUUUCCUGGAGUGGCAGAAAGAGAUCAGUCCUAACCUGCCCAGCAGGAAUAACGGUCCUUCCGACAACUCUUUGCAAGGCUUUUUACAAUUUCUCCAGGAGCUGCAUCUCCCUUCACCUUUUCUCCUCCACUUCGCGGCUUCUUCAUGCUUUUUCUUCUCACCAUUUCUGGCCAAAACUACAAACAAGACUUCGCAGAGCCUGCGUGCUGCUGCUGCUGCCGCCGCCGCUGCUGCUGCUGAAUCAGGGAGUCGAGCCCAUGCGAACUGCCAUCUGAUCCACUCUUAUCAAUGAAGCAGCAGAUCAUGGCGGAUGGCCCCAGGUGUAAGAGGCGAAAACAAGCCAACCCCCGGAGGAAAAACGGUAAGACGGCCCCCCGGGAAAACUUUUCCGGCCGGCUCCGGCGCGGCCGCGGGGGGAAAGGCGGCGGCAGG
This 681-nucleotide long non-coding RNA is filed under the name Cyanistes caeruleus (blue tit). Its description in RNAcentral is "lncRNA (ENSCCEG00000004513.1)". Lineage: Eukaryota; Metazoa; Chordata; Aves; Passeriformes; Paridae. The record is from RNAcentral.